CUACGGGGGGCAGCAGUGAGGAAUAUUGCACAAUGGGGGGAACCCUGAUGCAGCAACGCCGCGUGGAGGAUGACGCAUUUCGGUGUGUAAACUCCUUUUAUAUGUUAAGAAAAUGACGGUAGCAUAUGAAUAAGCACCGGCUAACUCCGUGCCAGCAGCCGCGGUAAUACGGGAGGGUGCAAGCGUUACUCGGAAUCACUGGGCGUAAAGGACGCGUAGGCGGGUUGGAAAGUCAGGUGUGAAAUCCUACAGCUUAACUGUAGAACUGCACUUGAAACUUCUAAUCUAGAGUAUGGGAGGGGUAGAUGGAAUUAGUGGUGUAGGGGUAAAAUCCGUAGAUAUCACUAGGAAUACCUAAAGCGAAGGCGAUCUCCUGGAACAUUACUGACGCUAAGGCGUGAAAGCGUGGGGAGCAAACAGGAUUAGAUACCCCCGUAGUC
This 440-nucleotide ribosomal RNA is filed under the name uncultured bacterium. RNAcentral describes it as "partial 16S ribosomal RNA". It matches the Rfam family "Bacterial small subunit ribosomal RNA", at positions 339 to 795 of the family's 1533-position model. The record is from RNAcentral.